CUGGAAAUACUAAAAAUGGCGUAUGUCUAGGGGGGUGACUGCUUCUGUUUACGGUACUUGCUGAGUGACGAAUCAUGACGAACAGAGCUUACGCUAAAAACAAUGGAGAUGGACUUCUGUGUAGUAUUCUGUGCCGAGGUUGAGAAACUUGCUGAAAUGAGCUAACCGCCUCGCGUGGCGGCCAGCUCAACUAGCAUUUUCACCGCACCCGUUGGGAAAACUACUCAACAACAACAUGCAUUUUCCUACAUUUUGUUCAACGUCACAUGAAGAAUCUAUUUUCUCAUUGGGCCGGUAAUUGAUUCAAGCGGCCUAACACUCAUAGGCGUACGGGAAGGACAAAAUUAAGGGGGCGGAAAGAAAUUUGCCCGACUUUUUCGGAUUGUGCCCGAGUUGUCAAAAAAAAAUUUCCGGAGAAACUUUCCGAAAUUGUUGUGGACGGGGGGGGGGGAAGUAGUGAUUACGAAAAAUUCCUAUUAGAUAGUGUAUUUCCCACAAAAUUGACAGAAUUUGUCCCAUUUAUUUUUAUAAUAAGCCAAUAUUGCCCGACUGUGAAGCGAAUAUUGCCCGACUGGCUUUGUUUGCCCAACAAACUUGGGGGGGGGGGGGGGGGGGCAUGUGAACUCGAAAAGUGCCUACGAUUUUCAUUUAGCGUGUCUUGCGAAACUGAAAUAUUUGUACGGGAAUUCACUUGUCUAUAACACUUCGAACACGCUGAGUUCAAAUCCGAAAAGUUCCCGCUCCGUAGACCCACAGUUUUCCCACAAACUAUUCACUAUUAAUUUCAUAUGACAAAUUUUAUCAUUGUUCAACGACGCGGAUCGAUAGAA
Non-coding RNA from Paramuricea clavata, 830 nucleotides. The record is from the annotation of a GenBank genome assembly. NCBI's taxonomy places the organism in Eukaryota, Metazoa, Cnidaria, Anthozoa, Malacalcyonacea, Plexauridae.